Molecule: long non-coding RNA, 725 nt
Organism: Anser brachyrhynchus (Pink-footed goose)
Lineage: Eukaryota; Metazoa; Chordata; Aves; Anseriformes; Anatidae
Source: Ensembl
AUGGGACUCCUCUUCAGCUGCGUUGAAUCGGCAGAGCUCCUCGAUGUGGCAAGGUGCUCCUGCUCAGCCCCCGAGGGAAGAUGCUCCUUCCUCAAACUGGUGGACGAGGAUGCAGUUGGGGUCAAUACAAGCAACUUCAGAGGAAGUCACUGCUUGAUUAUAAGACUACGGCUUUGGACUGCAGAGGACAGAGUGUGCGAGGAAAACGAGCACUUCUGGGCCAUCCACAAGCAGCGGACACCCUCUGAAUAUCAUAUGGGAGAGCCUGGGAGCGUGGGUCCAAACCUCCCCGGAGCACGAAGGGGCCGAGAAGAGGACGGAUCGACCAGCAUGCUGCCUGUGCGGCACUACCAGUUCUCCCCUGCAUUUAAUGUAUGGAAAAGCAUGACCCUGAAUCAGAUGAACAGCAGCCGGUUUGAGAAGGGGGGGAAAAUUAGCAGGAGGAGAUCAGAGGAAGAUAAGCGAGGAGCGAGCCGCUUCCCCGAGACCUUCCACUGCGGAUCCGCGAGGGAACAUCAGACGCGUUAAAAAAACCAAAACAAACCCAAACACGGCGUUCAAGCCAGCACAAGGCGAGCGAAAGAUCAAAAAGACGCGGAGAGAGAGAAAGAGGCAGAGAGGGAGACAGAUUAACUGGAGCGGCAGCGGCAGCAACAACAACAACAAAAAUCACACUUAAAAUCAUAAUAACAAUAACAACAAUAAUAAACCCCAAACCACCGGCA